RNAcentral lists this ribosomal RNA (198 nucleotides) under uncultured bacterium. RNAcentral describes it as "partial 16S ribosomal RNA". It matches the Rfam family "Bacterial small subunit ribosomal RNA", at positions 328 to 538 of the family's 1533-position model. The record is from RNAcentral.
ACGCUCGACACCUACAGGAGGCAGCAGUGGGGAAUAUUGCACAAUGGGGGAAACCCUGAUGCAGCGACGCCGCGUGAGCGAAGAAGUAUUUCGGUAUGUAAAGCUCUAUCAGCAGGGAAGAAACUGACGGUACCUGACUAAGAAGCACCGGCUUAAAUACGUGCCAGCAGCCGCGGUAAUCUGAGCGGGCUGCAAGGC